UUGCUCUCACUUCAGCAGCACAUAUACUAAAAUUGAAAUGAUACAAAAAAGAUUAGCAUGGCCACUAUGCAAGGAUGGCACGCGAUUUUGGGUGACAUGGGCAAUUAUU
Suncus etruscus (white-toothed pygmy shrew) is the source of this 109-nucleotide small nuclear RNA. NCBI's taxonomy places the organism in Eukaryota, Metazoa, Chordata, Mammalia, Eulipotyphla, Soricidae. The record is from RefSeq and is a predicted model, not a curated record.